This 87-nucleotide transfer RNA is filed under the name Pseudomonas sp. LS1212. Its description in RNAcentral is "tRNA-Leu". It matches the Rfam family "tRNA". Rfam says of the family: Transfer RNA (tRNA) molecules are approximately 80 nucleotides in length. The record is from RNAcentral. Lineage: Bacteria; Pseudomonadati; Pseudomonadota; Gammaproteobacteria; Pseudomonadales; Pseudomonadaceae. RNAcentral also lists the same sequence under 2 other names.
GCCCCGAUGGUGAAAUUGGUAGACACACCGGACUUAAAAUCCGUCGUCCGAAAGGAUGUGCCGGUUCGACUCCGGCUCGGGGCACCA